RNAcentral lists this long non-coding RNA (820 nucleotides) under Nicotiana tabacum (common tobacco). RNAcentral's name for it is "long non-coding RNA (NTAB_LNC014062)". The record is from RNAcentral. Lineage: Eukaryota; Viridiplantae; Streptophyta; Magnoliopsida; Solanales; Solanaceae.
UGAUAGUCCCGAAAAAUUUUAGGCCAUAGGGGUCAGGAGGUCCCGGAACCACUCAGAAGGCGUGGGCUAUAACACACAAAAAUAUGGGAAUCGCGCGUAAUUCUAGGUGUUUGGCCGAAAAACGCAAAAAAUGUGGAAAGAUCUUGGCAAGGCGGUGACUAUGGUUCCUUUGGUCUUAUUUGAUAGUCCGGAAAAAUAUUAGGCAAUAGGGGUCCGGAGGUCCCGGGACCACUCGGAAGACGUGGGCUAUAACACACAAAAAUAUGGGAAUCGAGCGCAAUUCUAGUUGUUUGGCCGAAAAACGUAAAACAUGAGGAACGAUCAUGGCGGGGCUGUGACUAUGGUACCUUAGGUCAUAUUUGAUAGUCCGAAAAAUUUUUAGACGUUCGGGGUCCGGGAGCCCACGCCCACUCGGAAGGCGUGGGCUAUAGCACACAAAAAUAUGGGAAUCGGGCGAAAUUCUAGUUGUUUUUCAGUAACAUGCAAAAAAUGUGGAAAGAUCUUGGCAGGGCGGUGACUAUGGUUCCUUAGGUCGUAUUUGAUAGUCCGGAAAAAUUUUAGGCGAUCGGGAUCCGGAGACCCGGGACCACUCGGAAGGCGUGGGCUAUAACACACAAAAAUAUGGGAUCGCCCGAAAUUCUAGUUAUUUGGCCGAAAAACGCAAAAAAUGAGGAACAAUCAUCGCGGGGCGGUGACUAUGGUUCCUUAGGUCUUAAUUGAUGGCCCGGUAAAUUUUUAGGCGAUCGGGGUUCGGGGUUCCCGGGACCCUUUGGAAGGCGUGGGCUAAAGCACACGAAAAUAUAGAAAUCGCUAGGAAUUC